AGCGAACGCUGGCGGCAGGCCUAACACAUGCAAGUCGAACGAACUCUUCGGAGUUAGUGGCGGACGGGUGAGUAACACGUGGGAACGUGCCUUUUGGUUCGGAAUAACUCAGGGAAACUUGUGCUAAUACCGAAUGUGCCCUUCGGGGGAAAGAUUUAUCGCCAUUAGAGCGGCCCGCGUCUGAUUAGCUAGUUGGUGAGGUAACGGCUCACCAAGGCGACGAUCAGUAGCUGGUCUGAGAGGAUGACCAGCCACACUGGGACUGAGACACGGCCCAGUCUCCUACGGGAGGCAGCAGUGGGGAAUCUUGCGCAAUGGGCGAAAGCCUGACGCAGCCAUGCCGCGUGAAUGAUGAAGGUCUUAGGAUUGUAAAAUUCUUUCACCGGGGACGAUAAUGACGGUACCCGGAGAAGAAGCCCCGGCUAACUUCGUG
RNAcentral lists this ribosomal RNA (433 nucleotides) under uncultured bacterium. Its description in RNAcentral is "partial 16S ribosomal RNA". It matches the Rfam family "Bacterial small subunit ribosomal RNA", at positions 29 to 507 of the family's 1533-position model. The record is from RNAcentral.